RNAcentral lists this ribosomal RNA (468 nucleotides) under uncultured bacterium. RNAcentral's name for it is "partial 16S ribosomal RNA". It matches the Rfam family "Bacterial small subunit ribosomal RNA", at positions 28 to 507 of the family's 1533-position model. The record is from RNAcentral.
GACGAACGCUGGCGGCGUGCUUAACACAUGCAAGUCGAACGGAAAGGCCCUGCUUUUGUGGGGUGCUCGAGUGGCGAACGGGUGAGUAACACGUGAGUAACCUGCCCUUGACUUUGGGAUAACUUCAGGAAACUGGGGCUAAUACCGGAUAGGAGCUCCUGCUGCAUGGUGGGGGUUGGAAAGUUUCGGCGGUUGGUGAUGGACUCGCGGCUUAUCAGCUUGUUGGUGGGGUAGUGGCUUACCAAGGCUUUGACGGGUAGCCGGCCUGAGAGGGUGACCGGCAACUUUGGGCGGGAGACACGGCCCAGACUCCACGGGGAGGAAGCAGGGGGAAAUUUUGAACAAGGGGGGAAAGCCUGAGGAAGCAACCCCGGGGGGGGGAUGACGGCUUUGGGGUUGUAACCCGUUUUCGCUUGUGGCGAGGCGGGAGUGGGGGUAAGGGAUAGAGAAGCCCCGGCUAACUCCGUG